RNAcentral lists this ribosomal RNA (720 nucleotides) under uncultured bacterium. RNAcentral's name for it is "bacterial SSU rRNA". It matches the Rfam family "Bacterial small subunit ribosomal RNA", at positions 92 to 789 of the family's 1533-position model. The record is from RNAcentral.
AAAGUGGCGCACGGGUGAGUAACGCGUGGGUAACCUGCCCUUGAAUCGGGGAUACCCCCGUGAAAACGGGACCAAUACCGGAUAUUGUCCCCGAAACCGUGGUUUCGGGAAUGAAAGGUGACCUAUCCAUGGAAGUUGCCGUUCAGGGAGGGGCCCGCGUACCAUUAGCUUGUUGGUGGGGUAAUGGCCUACCAAGGCAACGAUGGUUAGCUGGUCUGAGAGGAUGAUCAGCCACACUGGAACUGAAACACGGUCCAGACUCUUACGGGAGGCAGCAGUGAGGAAUUUUGCGCAAUGGGGGAAACCCUGACGCAGUAACGCCGCGUGAGUGAAGAAGGCCUUCGGGUCGUAAAGCUCUGUCAAGUGGGAAAAAAUGCUUUUGGUCAAUAGCCGGAAGCCCUGAUGGUACCACUGGAGGAAGCACCGGCUAACUCCGUGCCAGCAGCCGCGGUAAUACGGAGGGUGCAAGCGUUGUUCGGAAUUACUGGGCGUAAAGAGCGUGUAGGCGGUUUGGUAAGUCAGAUGUGAAAGCCCUGGGCUCAACCCAGGAAGUGCAUUUGAAACUGCCAUACUUGAGUAUGGGAGAGGAGAGUGGAAUUCCCAGUGUAGAGGUGAAAUUCGUAGAUAUUGGGAGGAACACCCGUGGCGAAGGCGACUCUCUGGACCAAUACUGACGCUGAGACGCGAAAGCGUGGGUAGCAAACAGGAUUAGAUACCCUG